Molecule: long non-coding RNA, 1288 nt
Filed under: Canis lupus familiaris (dog)
Lineage: Eukaryota; Metazoa; Chordata; Mammalia; Carnivora; Canidae
Description: lncRNA (ENSCAFG00040002854.1)
Source: RNAcentral
GGGAGUGGGAGGCCUGUGGACCAAGUGGAAGAGGAGUGUAGGGGGGCAUUCACUCCCGCUGUGCCUGAGUUCCACCGCAGGCCCAGGGCCAGAGCCCGGGAGGUGGGAGGGCAGGGGUCCUCCGAGGAGCUGCCGGCCCACGAUCGCCCCGGGGGCAGGCGGGAGGGAGGGAGGGAGGAGAGGCGGGGCCAGGGCUGGAGGGCGGCGCUUGCGGGGACCGGGCUGCUCCGGGCCCUGGGGACCCCUGCGCUUCGCUCACUCCUCCCCCGCCGGGGCUCCGCGGGCCAGCGCUGCGGCCGCCAGGGUGCGCCCCCCCGCCCCGCCCCGCCCCGCCGCCGUCCCCGGCCCGCUCCGCCCGAGCCCCCCCUCGCCGCGCUGCGCGCUCCGCCCGAGCCGCCGCCGCCGCCGCCGCGUGCUCCCGCUGUCUCCUCGCUCCAGCCGAGCGAGCCGGAGGAGCCGGGGAGAGGGAGAGAGCGAAAGGGGGAGGAGAGAGGGAGAAGGAGGGCGGGAGGGAGGGGAGCAGAGGGAGAGGAGGCGGCGGCGAGCAGGAGCGAGCGCGGAGCGCCGAGCCGCGGGGCAGCUCCGGAGCCGGGAGCCUCCUCGGACAGCCGCCCGCCCCGGCCCGGCCCGGCCCCGCUCCAGCGCCCGCCCGCUCGGAGGACACGCGGCCGCCGCCGCCGAGCCCGGCCCGCGCCCCUCGCCGCCCGCUCCGCUGCCCGCUCGGGGCCGGGAUGCAGCCGGGGCAUGGCCGCCGGGCCCCCGUCACCUGCCGCGGGGAGCGCUGAGCCCCCCUGGGGCCUUGAGAGUCGCCAUAGCUACUUACUUGCUUGGCCUUUUGCCGCUUACCUUUACUAUUCUGUGAAGAAGGAGGUGGGACCAGCCCCUCCCCGGGGCAGCUGGAGGCCAGUCUGCACUGGGGUGAGUCCUGUGUCCCAGAAAACCCCUGGGCAGGGGCCCCGGUUCUGUCCUGUGGGUGGUGGCUGGUGUUUCCUCCUGCAGAGUAGGAGCAAACAUGUGCUUGCAAUCCCGGCCAAGCUGGGACAUGACCUCUCAUUUAAGGCGAUAAAGGGCAGCCGGCCAGUGGUGAGGCUGGCUCUCGCCCGGGUGCCCCAAGGCCUGGCAGUGCAGGGCAGCUCGCCUGGGAUUGGGGGGGGGAGCACAGGGCUGCUCAUCCCUGCCUCGAUCUGCUCCCAGGGACCCCAUGGCCUACGCUCCCCCAUCGAAGUGAGCGCCGCAGCUGUGCACCGCGCAGCAAAGUGAAAAUAACCUCUCUUGUGGGGGCCUGCGC